GACCGCUCCGGUGGCCUAGUGGUUAGAGCGUCCGCCUCAGAUGCGGAGGUCGUGGGUUCGAUCUCCGGCUGAGUCA
Potamilus streckersoni is the source of this 76-nucleotide non-coding RNA. Lineage: Eukaryota; Metazoa; Mollusca; Bivalvia; Unionida; Unionidae. The record is from the annotation of a GenBank genome assembly.